Molecule: unclassified non-coding RNA, 205 nt
Filed under: Hevea brasiliensis (rubber tree)
Lineage: Eukaryota; Viridiplantae; Streptophyta; Magnoliopsida; Malpighiales; Euphorbiaceae
Source: RNAcentral
UAAUUGAUGUUCUAAUCCCAAUAUUUUUGAGAUGCAAUUUUCUUUUAUAUCAGUUGAGAUCCGUGGUUCUCUUACAAGAUUUGCUGCUACGGUACGAGCGAACUUCAUUCUUGGUAUUUUUUGGCAGAAGUUGUCCCGGAGUUAAUUCCAGCCCCCUCUUAUUUGAAACAAUUGACAAUUUUUACUGCGGAGAUCCUUGAACAGA